This 600-nucleotide ribosomal RNA is filed under the name uncultured Alphaproteobacteria bacterium. Its description in RNAcentral is "bacterial SSU rRNA". It matches the Rfam family "Bacterial small subunit ribosomal RNA", at positions 54 to 700 of the family's 1533-position model. Lineage: Bacteria; Pseudomonadati; Pseudomonadota; Alphaproteobacteria. The record is from RNAcentral.
CAUGCAAGUCGAACGCAGUAGCAAUACUGAGUGGCAAACGGGUGAGUAAUAUGUGGGAAUCUGCCUUUUGGUUUGGAAUAACACGGGGAAACUUGUGCUAAUACCGAAUAAGCCCUUACGGGGAAAGUUUUAAUGCCGAAAGAUGAGCCCGCACUUGAUUAGCUAGUUGGUAAGGUAAAAGCUUACCAAGGCAACGAUCAAUAGCUGUUCUUAGAGGAAGACCAGCCACAUUGGGACUGAGACACGGCCCAGACUCCUACGGGAGGCAGCAGUGGGGAAUCUUGCACAAUGGGGGAAACCCUGAUGCAGCGAUGCCGCGUGAGUGAAGAAGGCCUUUGGGUUGUAAAACUCUUUCGUCGGGGAAGAAAAUGACUGUACCCGAAUAAGAAGGUCCGGCUAACUUCGUGCCAGCAGCCGCGGUAAUACGAAGGGACCUAGCGUAGUUCGGAAUUACUGGGCUUAAAGAGCUCGUAGGUGGUUAAAAAAGUUGAUGGUGAAAUCCCAAGGCUUAACCUUGGAACUGCCAUCAAAACUUUUUAGCUAGAGUGUGAUAGAGGUAAGUGGAAUUUCUAGUGUAGAGGUGAAAUUCGUAGAUAUUAG